Physella acuta is the source of this 1609-nucleotide long non-coding RNA. RefSeq lists it as uncharacterized. Lineage: Eukaryota; Metazoa; Mollusca; Gastropoda; Physidae. The record is from RefSeq and is a predicted model, not a curated record.
GUUUUGACGGCUGCUGUGUGUUUAAAUGCCAUUCCUUCCUAGCAAGAAAAGAGGUUGUAUUUCAGGACAACAUUAGUGGUUGAGCUAUGUAAAAAUUAUCAUAAUUACAAGAUCUGAUAGCUAUCAGUUUAUUCUAACAACAUUUAUCUGUGAACAGAAAGGUGUGUAGUGUAUUCAAAGUUCAAGCUGAAUCAUUUAAGAGUCUCCACAUUUAUUGGCCAUGGGUAAUUCCUACACAAAGGCAAAUAGUAAACAGGAGCCACGUUCAAUUGUGGCAAGCUGUGAAAUACAGAAUAAGCAAAUAAUGACUGACAAAUCAGGUGUAUUCCAUCCUGGAAAUCAUGAAGCUGAGAUGUGCUAUGGAGGGGAAGCUGAUCUACACAGACAUGUUACCGGCUGUAAGAAGAAUCCAGGUCACAAAGGUUUUAUACCUCUUAAUGAUUUCAACAUAAAUUAUCUCCCCUCACGUUACCACAACGACCUCAUGUUUGAGACAAUCAAAACAUUGGCGGCCCUAACUGUCCAGGUAAAGUCUGAAUUCACCAGUCUAGAGAGACCAGAGUUUAUCCAGACACUCGAGUUCCAUAUCCAUGUUAUAAGGACAGAGGAAGUCACGUGAUGAGGUUAGGAACGGGGAGGGUGUGUGGUGUGUACAAGUACACAGAGAGUGACGGUGACGGAACUUGUCGUUGUGCCAAGUGUCAAGUCUCUGCCACACCCAGCAAAGUGUGGGGGAUGGUUCGUGUGGUGACAGCUAAACACGUGGUGUUUGAUGCCAGUGAGGCAAGACAGACCAGGUGUGUUUUAGGUUUUGAUGACAAUAAAAGUCCAGUGGUCAGUCUUGAUGGCUGGGAAGUGUUGGGUGGGGCAGACAUUAAGAAAGACUGGUGUAUGUUGAGAUAUGUGACAUGUGACUUAGAGUUGGUUGAUGAACUGGACAAGUUGUGUCGGCGCUUUAAUGAUCUAUGUGAGGAAGUAAAGGACAAAUACUGGAGAUUUGUUGGUGUGGACAAGUUGACCGUUAUAGUGUCACAUCCUCAUGGCUGUCCUAAACAGGUCUCUGUAGGAAAAUGGACACACAAACGUGAAAGGGAUGGCGACACCAGGUACUGGUACACAACAUGUACAUGCCCAGGCUCAAGUGGAGCGUUUGUCUACAGGCUGCGAUAUGGCGGGUUGUUGUAUCCCCAUCCCCACAGUGGAUCAAAUUCUGAAGGAAAUUAUAGUGGGGAGAGGUGGGAGUGAUGUAACUGUUAGUUCUCUCCCCUUGUCUACACAAUGUAAACAAACAAAAUGGUGGAAACUUUCCCGUCAUUAAAAUGUUUGUGUUAAGACCUGCAUGUCUUAUCAACAUUUUAUUACAUUUAAAUGAUUAAAACAAAUGUUUUGAUUGAUGUAAACCGUUUAACCGUUAUAAUUUGCAUGUACAUAGAUAGGUUUUAGAUUUUUUUGUUUCAAAUGUUUAACAUAGUUUGUGUACAACUUUUGUCGGCAAAUUGUUGUCAUAUAACUAUAGGCUGGAUAUUACCUGUAAAUUAAAUGAAACCUACCUUUAUAAAUGUCAUAUUCGUACUGCUUGUUUUACAAAAUGUUCACACUAAACGACAUU